This 253-nucleotide ribosomal RNA is filed under the name uncultured bacterium. RNAcentral's name for it is "partial 16S ribosomal RNA". It matches the Rfam family "Bacterial small subunit ribosomal RNA", at positions 524 to 776 of the family's 1533-position model. The record is from RNAcentral.
UACGGAGGAUGCAAGCGUUAUCCGGAUUCAUUGGGUUUAAAGGGUGCGUAGGCGGCCUUUUAAGUCAGUGGUGAAAUCCUGCCGCUUAACGGUAGAAUUGCCAUUGAUACUGAAAGGCUUGAGUUCAGUUGAGGUAAGCGGAAUGUGUAGUGUAGCGGUGAAAUGCUUAGAUAUUACACAGAACACCAAUUGCGAAGGCAGCUUACUAAACUGACACUGACGCUGAUGCACGAAAGCGUGGGGAGCGAACAGG